AAGCGAGAACUGGACGGAAUUCAGGUGGAAUUGCAAGCAACAGAUCCAACUGAGAUGGGUCUCGAUGUGUUCAAAAGCCGUGCUAACUGAAUACGGUUCUUUUAGGCAUCUGCAACCGGGAAGCUUCCUUCCUUCCUACAGUAUGUCUUUACUUAAGUGAAAUGUUUAUAGGUUUCGAAACGGCAAACUCGGGAUUUCCGAGUUAUGCCAUAAGACUUUUAUCAGUCUCGAUGAUGAUAAACCCGUAGUUUCGGGUAUAUGUGAUUUGUUAUCUAUAGAACCUAUGUGUUGAGUGCCUUUGUGUAGUCUUUAUCUCUUUCAACGCUAAAUGCAACUGUUUGUGAGGGUUAGACGACACAUUUAGUUCGUUUUCAAAGUUUUUUUUUUUAAUUUUCUUUGAAUAUUGACCCUUGUUUAUUGUUUCGGAGUGUUAAAGAGGGCAUGCUUUUAUGUCUUUCAAGUCACUGAUUCUUUUUGCCAUUAUUUAUGACACUGGAUUUGAUUGCAAAUUUAUUUGUACAAUAUUUUUUGCUGGUUGAUUUUUUUGCUUGAUUCAGACUUCUUUAUGUUUUGUUUUGGUCAUUUAACUUCAAAAUGUUAAAAAACAUCAUUAAAUUAUUUAAAAAAAUUCAUUUAAGUUAUAAAAUGGUUGUUAAAAUUGUUCUAUGAUAUUUUCUGUUUACAUUGUUUGUACCAAUUAAAAAUAAUUUUUUUUUAGUUCAAUUUUUUUUAUAAAAUAUUUUCGGAUGUCACAGAUUUAUAAAUUUAAUAGAUUUAUAAAAUAUCUUAGCAAUAAAUUUGUGAAUCAGAUUUUAAAUAAGAUUUUAAAAAAAAUAUCUUAAUGUGUUAAAUAAAAUGUUUUUGAAUAAUUUAAUAAUUUAAAUGAAUUUCGUUUAAUCUAAGUAAUGGAUUUGGAUGCCAACUUUGAAUGUUAGUAAUGAUGUUUUAUCAUGUUCUCAACUAAUGGGCUUCGCUUGCUUUGCCGGCUAGGCUCAUCAAUAUCCCCAACAUACUCUUCACGUUAUAACAUUCAAAAUGUAUCAAAUUAAAUAUAUAGGAUAUUAAAAUUAAAAAGAAAUUAUUUAUGAGUUGAUCUCGAAUUAAUUUGUAACAUCAAUUUAACGUAAAAAUUGAUUAAAUUAUUUAUGAAUUUCGCAAUUAAGUCAACUUUAGUACUUAAGCUUGAAAAUUAAAUCUAUUUUAAUCUAUAAAUUUUUAAAAAAUAUAAAAAUUCGGUGAUGUGUAUUUUAAUAGUGUGCCACGUCAUUAGAUCUAUUUUUUUAAGUGAUGAUAUAAUACGAUGCUAAAUUACCAUAUCAAAUCAUCGAACUUUUACAUUUUUUCAAAUUUUGGUUCGAAAUAGAUUUUUUAUCAAGUUCACGGGUCAAAAACUAUAUUAACCCUUUAAAAAAAUAAAAAAUUAGAUUGUAAAAUUCAGCCGAGUCAAACGAAGCCGCCAACGAGUGAAGUUGUCUAUUAGCCGAGUCCAUAAAAUACAGCGCGGCUUAAUCAUGACCACAACACAAAAACCCGUGCCCUUUAGAACCGAACACGACGUGGCAACACAGGAUUAGGCGAAGAAAUGUUUCGUACGAUAACCUAAUGUUCAAAUACAAACACCCUAUUAAUUCUCAACUCAACUGGGGCAAGUUUUCACCGAAAUAAAAGGACCUUUGCCCCUCCCCACCGUUUUUCAACCCUCGUCAUCGGAAGAGCUUUCCUUUUUCUCUCUCUAUAUUUUCUCAUCUCCUUUUCCACCGCCGUCGAUCUCGAUCCGUAUCCCCGUUUUCAAAAAAGCUCCAAAAAGAUGGUAAUGUUUCAGCUGCCUUUUUUUUUUAAAAAAGUUUAAAAUUAAUAGUUUAUCCUUGAAUUAGAUCGUAUUUCUGAUAUUUUUGUGUAAUUUCUUAGCAAUCCGACUGGAUCGUCUUUUUCUUUUGUUGAUUUUUUAAGUUUUAAAUUAAUAGUUUAAGCUUGAAUUUAAUCUUAUUUCUGAUUUUUAGUGUAAUUUCUUAGCAAUCCGAUUGGAUCUUUUUUUUUUGUUUAUUCUUGAAUUUAGUCGAUUUUCUGAUUAUUUUUGUGUGAUUUCUUAGUAAUCCGACUGGAUCCUUACUUUUAAGUUUAAAAUUAAUAGUUUAUCCUUUAAUUGAAUCGUAGUUCUGGUAUUUUUGUGUAAUUUCUUAGCAAUUCGACUGGAUCGUCUUUUUUCUUGUUGAUAUUUUUGUGUAGUUUUAAAUUAAUAGUUUAUCCUAGAAUUAAAUCAUAUAUCUCUGGUAUUUUUGUGCAACUUCUUAGCAAUUCGACUGGAUCGUCUCUUUUCCUGUUGAUUUUUUUUUGUAGUUUUAAAUUAAUAGUUUAUCCUAGAAUUAAAUCAUAUCUCUGGUAUUUUUGUGUAAUUUCUUAGUAAUCCAACUAGAUCCUCUCUUUUUUUUUUGUUGAUUUUUCUUUUUUAAUUUUGUGUUUGAUCGGUUAAUUCAUCUCUGCAUUGAUGCUUGAAAAUCCCCGGAAAUUUUUGAGUGUCUGGAUCUUAGGAUUUUAAAUCUGUAGUUAAUGAUUUGAUUUGAUUUCGAUGAAAUUAGAUGUACUAAUUUGUGCUGAAAAUGGAAUCAUUACUGGUCUAGCUUCUUGUCUCUUUAGCUGGUUGAUUUUACUGAAUUUGCUGUUAAUCUAAAUACGUAUCGGUUUCUACUUUAUGAAUACUCUAUUUUUAACUGUUUUUCUUUGACACUGACUUUUUAUUUUACUUGUUUAAUAUAUUAAUCUAAUUUGUCUGCGCUUGUAAUUUGGAUCCUUGUAUUUUUGUUGUUAUUAUUAUUUUCUUAUUUUUACUGAAACCAAAGAAAAUCUUAUUUUAUAUAUCCAAACAUAAUAUUAUGGUUUUAUGAUCAUAAACAAUAAACACGCCCCAUUGUGAAGCUCAACUAGCUGAUUUAGGAUGUUCUAAAGGCAAUGUAAGAUGAGCUCUGCUUCAUCCUAAAGAUAUUGACACAUGAUGUUAUACCAGCAUAGGGGGCCAUUGCAAGAGAUCAAGUUAGAGUGUAAAGGGUAUUUAAGUGUAGCUUUUGUUUUCUUUCUUUAUUGUUCAAUUUUUUAGGAUCAAAUCAUGGAUAUAUAGAUUAUUGGAAUGGUUGAUUUUUUUUCUUCAUUUAUCGUUCCUUUGUGUUCUAUUGAUGUUAUUAAACAUUGGGACUGCUUUUGAUAUUUGUUUUCUCAUGUGGUAUUAUUUUAUAUCCUAGGCCAAUGCUGCAUCGGGAAUGGCUGUGCAUGAUGAUUGCAAGUUGAAGUUCCAAGAACUUAAGGCAAAAAGAACCCACCGCUUUAUUGUUUUCAAAAUCGAGGAGAAGCAGAAGCAAGUUAUCGUGGAGAAGCUUGGUGAGCCAACUGAGAGCUAUGAAGAUUUUACUAAAUGUCUUCCCGCUGAUGAAUGUCGUUAUGCUGUGUACGAUUUUGAUUUUCUAACAGCCGAGAACGUCCCAAAGAGCAGAAUCUUUUUCAUCGCAUGGUACUGCAAUGUUUCUUAAUCGUGGGGUUCCAUUGUUUCCUUUUAUUACUUACUAUAUAUUGUUGUUGUCCUAUGAAGGUCUCCCGAUACAUCAAGGAUCAGGAGCAAAAUGAUAUAUGCUAGCUCCAAAGACAGAUUCAAGCGAGAACUGGAUGGAAUCCAAGUGGAAUUGCAAGCAACAGAUCCAACCGAGAUGGGUCUUGAUGUCUUCAAAAGCCGUGCUAACUGAAUACAGUUCUUUUAGGCUUUUGCAACAGGGAAGCUUCCUUCCUUCCUUCCUACAGUAUGUCUUUUACUUAUGUGAAAUGUUUAUAGGUUUCGAAAUGGCAAAACUUGGACAAUUACCGAUUUC
RNAcentral lists this long non-coding RNA (3851 nucleotides) under Gossypium barbadense (sea-island cotton). RNAcentral describes it as "long non-coding RNA (GBAR_LNC013824)". The record is from RNAcentral. Lineage: Eukaryota; Viridiplantae; Streptophyta; Magnoliopsida; Malvales; Malvaceae.